RNAcentral lists this ribosomal RNA (478 nucleotides) under Lachnospiraceae bacterium canine oral taxon 073. RNAcentral's name for it is "bacterial SSU rRNA". It matches the Rfam family "Bacterial small subunit ribosomal RNA", at positions 9 to 489 of the family's 1533-position model. Lineage: Bacteria; Bacillati; Bacillota; Clostridia; Lachnospirales; Lachnospiraceae. The record is from RNAcentral.
GAGUUUGAUCAUGGCUCAGGAUGAACGCUGGCGGCAUGCCUAACACAUGCAAGUUGAACGAGAAGUUCUGGAGGGAGUCUUCGGACGAACGAAGGGAUGGAAAGUAGCGAACGGGUGAGUAACGCGUGGGCAACCAACCUUACACAGGGGGAUAACGCAGAGAAAUUUGCGCUAAUACCGCAUAAGCGCACAGUACCGCAUGGUACGGUGUGAAAAACUCCGGUGGUGUAAGACGGGCCCGCGUCUGAUUAGUUAGUUGGUGAGGUAAAAGCUCACCAAGGCGACGAUCAGUAGCCGACCUGAGAGGGUGAUCGGCCACAUUGGGACUGAGACACGGCCCAAACUCCUACGGGAGGCAGCAGUGGGGGAUAUUGCACGAUGGAGGAAACUCUGAUGCAGCAAUGCCGCGUGAAGGAAGACGGUUUUCGGAUUGUAAACUUCUAUCAGCAGGGAAGAAAAUGACGUACCUGACUAAGAG